GAAAUAUUUGUUUUCAUGUCCAAACUCCAAACACCCACUAAAGGGGUCAAGUUGAGCACGACCAAGACAAAUUGCUUGGAAUUCAAGUUCAGCGACAUAACUCAUGAGGUUGGCGUGAAAGUGCGGCUUAAUACCCAGGUCAUCCAGAAAAAAGGAAGUUUUAAGUAUCAUAGGUCAUAAUACUAAGUAAUCAGAACACUCACAAUAACGUCACACACUGUAUUGGUGCAUGGUCG
RNAcentral lists this unclassified non-coding RNA (236 nucleotides) under Hevea brasiliensis (rubber tree). Lineage: Eukaryota; Viridiplantae; Streptophyta; Magnoliopsida; Malpighiales; Euphorbiaceae. The record is from RNAcentral.